CGUCUCGAGAGAGAGAAAAUCUCCUAUUUCAUAUAAAGUAGAGUAUCCUUGACUCACAACCGAUGUGAGAUUAAAUUCUUCACAGCAGUUAGUAUACAAAUAGAAUAUGAAUUGAUUUGAAUCAAAACUGUUUACAUUAUAAUUUAUUUUAAAAUAAAACAAGGAUAAAGGACAUAUGAAUCAUAGAUACACACGCAUACUAAUUAAAUAUGUAUUGGAAUUGAGCAAAAACUUUUGCUAUAUUUUUGCAUUCAUUGAUGAUAUACACACAUACACAUGCAC
RNAcentral lists this long non-coding RNA (282 nucleotides) under Elaeis guineensis (African oil palm). RNAcentral's name for it is "long non-coding RNA (EGUI_LNC011144)". Lineage: Eukaryota; Viridiplantae; Streptophyta; Magnoliopsida; Arecales; Arecaceae. The record is from RNAcentral.